UCGCGAAACGGUCCCUCCGCAGGGACCGUCAUCCAGGGGCGGCGCCCUGGGUCUGAUGAGCAGCCAUAG
RNAcentral lists this non-coding RNA (69 nucleotides) under Gammaproteobacteria bacterium. RNAcentral also lists the same sequence under 1 other name. Lineage: Bacteria; Pseudomonadati; Pseudomonadota; Gammaproteobacteria. The record is from RNAcentral.